Molecule: RNA transcript, 5451 nt
Organism: Tribolium madens (black flour beetle)
Lineage: Eukaryota; Metazoa; Arthropoda; Insecta; Coleoptera; Tenebrionidae
Exons: 7
Source: RefSeq, a predicted model, not a curated record
GCAGUGAUUUCGGUGGUGUGGUAACACUGACAUUUGCACAAAACCACCAUUUCUUGCCCGAGGGAGAAAAAGCGACUCGAUGGAGCUUCAUCUCUAAAAAAUUAUGGAGGAUUUCUCGAUUAGAAUGUGGCUUUGGGUGGGAUCAGCCGUUUUCCUGAUGGGACUGCUGCAGGAAGCGACGCCAGGACCGGCCUGCAGGAUCAGCGAGUUUCCGUGCCGGAACGGCAGGUGCGUCAAACUCAACGCAUACUGCGAUGGCAGCGACGACUGUGGCGACCUCUCCGACGAACCCCUCUACUGCACAGUGUGCAACCGGACUUACUACGGGGACGUCGGUAAAACAUACGACCUGCGCGUCAUUAAGUCCUCGGAGACGAGACUGCCCUUCCUUUGCCAUCUCACGUUCACCGCCAACGGCCAGAGUCACGGAGAUAUAGUCCAGCUGAUCUUCGACGAGUUCAAGGUGGGUCGCUACGAGGCCUCCGCCCUCGACGGCUGCCCCGACGGCUACAUGCAACUGAGCGAAUUGGGGCGUCCCUUUACGGGCGGUUCCUGGUGUGGCACCUCCUCCGGCCCCGCCGCCUACUACAGCGAAACAUCCACUGUAACCGUCACCGUUAAACUCUUCGGCUCCCCCCACAUCCCCUUCAAAUUCCAAUUGCGUUACCGUUUCGUGUCCCGUCGCGAAGCCGUCGUCCGGUUUGGUUCUCCGGCAGCCCCCCUCGAACGGGGCCAAGUCGCCCCCGGGACCUACUGCACCCGUCAAUUCGAAGAGUGUUACCGCAAACCCUGUCGUUUGCAGUCCCCCAACUACCCUGGAAUGUACCCCCGCAACGUCUCCUGUUACUGGAGUUUGAGACAAAAGUUUGUCCCCACUUGCAAACAUGCAAUGAUCGCAGUUCGACAAGAAGCCGCCCAUAAAAUGCACAUGAAACGUUCAAUCAACGUGGCUGGGUUAAACAAAACAGCGAGGGCUUUGAGGGCGUGGCGGGACUGUACGGGGGAACGCGACCACUUGAUUUUUUACGAUGGGGGCUCAACGAAUGACCCUGUCUUGGCCAAAUACUGUGGAGGAGAUUGGUUACCAAGAGUGGUGUCACGUGGUCCUGAAAUGCUCGUCGCGUUUCACUCCUCCCCUUUCAGCAUCCCACUACACUCCCCUCCAUCGCAGUCCCCUCUCCGCGGAUUUGAACUUGACGUUGAUGUGAUUUUUGCCGAUUCGGAUUCACUCGACUAUUCUCGACAAAGCCGAUGCGAAUUUGACGUAAACGCGACGAGUCCCGACAGUGACGAGAUUUGGACAGGGCGUGGCCGAAAAGGACGAAUCGUGAGUCCCCGACACUCCCUCCCACCCAAUACCACUUGCACUUAUAAAUUUCAAGGCUAUCAGCAUGACUUGGUCUGGAUUAGUUUCGUGUCGUACAGUCAGAGAGCGCUUCUUGUCGGUGAAAGUGCGCACGCGUUACUUAGCAAUAGUAGUCUAGGAGGUGGGUGUUCGACACGCCUCCGAAUUUGGGACGGGGCUCUCUUAUUGGAGGAUAAGUGCGACGAACCGCCCCGUUUGUGUGACCAUAGUGCGUUAACUAAUGCUACGAGAGUGACACGUCCGUGUACAUUGGAAGAGAGUUAUCUGUCGACGGGGAGGAGUCUUGUCUUGCAACACCAUACUGAAGAUGGCACCGCCCUCCACCCCGCCUCGUUUCGAUUGAAAUACGAAUUUAUCGAUACCAGGAUGGGAGGGGAGCCUUGGCCGGGAAAAGAAUCAGAGAUUUGUCAUAGAAUUUUCCGAAAAAGUCAUUUAGGGGAGUUGACUGGACCAAGAAAUGUGUUUUUGUACGGCAGAGGCGGGGCUAAAGACCUACACUGUGUUUACCGAUUCGAGGCGGAUCCUGGCGAACGCGUUCGUUUGAUUGUAAAUAACGCGAGUUUUGGGUUAACCCCCAAUUGUGAAACUGUGAUUGAUCCCCAUAGUGGACGUCCGGUGUGCGAACACUACUCUAGUAGUCACAUGACCGAAUUAAGCGUGUGGGAACUCCCCUGGAAAGACGUCCGAAUGCCUCGCGGGUGUCUUUGUGAUAACUCGUCCUUGAGUAGCAAACCACUAGUGUUCUUAUCAGCGUCAAAAACCCUCGAAUUGCAUUUCACUGCCAAAGACAUGAACAUAACCGAAGAUUUCACCAUUCUCCACUUCCAUGCAACUUUCGAAAUAGUCAAAAUGCCCGACUGUCCCCGCAAACAACGAGUACGCGGAUACGGAGGCGACGUCCAAUUCAACACGCCUCCAAUCGACCGCAAUGAGAUGCUUUGCGUGGGCAUGCCGUGGCUCAUCGAAGCGCGCCACAACCGUUCUUUAUUCCUGUUAAGUUGGGGGGCGUUUCUUCCACUCAAGCCCCGCCUCGAGGAACCCACCCGCUGUCCCACCUCCAACCGCGUAUUGGUCUACUCCGGCCGGCCCCCGAAACUCGUCCGUGCGGUUUGUCCCGCUGAACCUGGGGCCCGCCCACUCGCCGUCCACGUGUUCAGCGAGGAAUGGUGGGGCGAAGGCCUAGCCACAAUCCACCAACGCCCUCCAAACUUCAUGAUAGAGUGGGUGGGUUCCGAACCGGGAAUCUCAGCUUUCAGUUGGUUGGAGAUUUCAAGAUCGAGAUCAUCGCUGUUGCAACAACUCCAAGUCCCGGUGAACGUCUCAGCGAACGAGACCGACUUCGAGUGCCCCCACAAGUGCCCCGAAUUGGAUGCUUGUAUCAGUGCGAGUUUGUGGUGCGACGGGAAGGAUCACUGUCCGUCGGGGUGGGACGAGUCGGAGGCACAGUGCGGGGUUGGGAGUAAGUUGCUAACGACGCUCCCGGGGGCGGCGUUGGCGGCGGCAGCAGCUGUUAUCUCCUCCGUUGCGCUUUUGGUCUGUCUGACUUUACACAGAUUGAGGGCUAGACGCAGGAGGAGGUUAGCCAAGAAGAAGCUUCUCACUGGGCCGAGGUUGUUGGAUAACAGUUUGAAUUCUUGACACAAGGCUCCGCCCGUCGAGUAUAUCCACGUCGAUCGGGAAACGACCGUAUGAGGUCGACUCUUUGUCGGUUCGUCCGUCCCUAUGCUCACUUAUUAUCUACCGGUGCCUUUCAGUGAUUCCAAGAGGGUCUUAAAUCUCGAUUAAGUUGAAAAAUUCCAACCCCGAUUAAGAGAAAUGAGGGAAAAUAUUUCCACUCCGUGAAAGAGGAAUCAUUUCCCUUGUCAAAGCUUUGUGUUCAAAGCCCUCGCGUGGCCUUUGUGCCCCAUUCGGAGCCUUCGCCGCCCCCCAGUGAGUGAAUGCAGAGAAGACAAUCGCAUAUAAAAAUCGCAAAUAAACCCUCAAACAGGUCGUUCUUAAAAAAUCUCGUGCCAAAAUUUGUGUGUCCUAGUGCGAGACUAGUGUUCUAAUUAAAAAAACCUAGUUCCGAACUUAGUUGACUCAAGCCGUUUUUACCAAGGGUGUGAUUUCUUGUGAUAAUUAUUGAAGAGUUGGUUUAGAAGUUUUCAUGGAAGAUUCUUAUUUAUUGCUUAAUUAAUUUCAUCGCUCCCCAGACGUGAUUAAUUGAAAGUACACAAGAUUUGCUGAUAAUCUAAUCCGCCUCAAUUAUAACACUAUUGAUUUUUUUUUUAGUAAAUUAAUUUAAAACAAAUUUUGCCCUCAAUUAUAACACUAUUGAUUUUUUUUUUAGUAAAUUAAUUUAAAACAAAUUUUGCCUCAAGUGCAAGCGAGAUGGAACGAUUGCUUGAAUAUGCAGUAGGCGCGAGAUGAAAUAAUUUACAUUCAUGGCAACCUUGAUGUGAUCUACACCACAACACGAAUUUUUCCCUGUCUCGUGAUAAAAAAACAAACACAAACUUAUGAUAGACCGAGACUUCCACUCUGCGUUAUUAAAAUUUUAAACAGCGUUGCCGGGGUAAUAAAUACUUUCCUAAUUACCAUGGAAAUUCUUCGAACAAAACGACUCCACUUAAUUAACAUCACCCUUAAAAAUAUUUUCUUUGCUUGCUUCAAUAUGGCGGCUAUUACUCAUCCCGCUAUCGCGGCAGGCUUUGCCCGGCCAUAAAUAUUUGAUAACAGUGAAAAGUAGAGAGUUGUAACGUUGUUACUUUGUCACUGGACGAUACUUUUAAUCCGGGUGAAAAAUUCCGGGUAUUAAAUACGGGAUUUGAGUGGCGCCACUAAGAAAAUAGAUUCGAAAAUUUGACAUUUGAGGUUGUUGCCCCCGCUGCCAACCCUGCAAGACAAAAUACACUAGAUUCGCCAUCGGGUGUUUAAAUUAUUGAUGAGUGGAUUACUCCGGCGCUGAUUUCGUUAAAGUUUCUGUCAAAAGUGUUGUGGUUUGCUAAACUUUCUAAUGAAAUUAGUAUUUUUCGCAUCUCUCCCUCCAAACUUGAAUCAAACUUCUGAUUUUAAAGUGAAAUUAAAUUCCAGAGGGAAAUUAUUUUAAAACCAUUAAAAUGGAAUAUUUUAACCAUGUUUGAUGUUUACGUACAUUUAGAUUUACGUCUCGGUUGGCUGUAAACUCCAAAGUUUUCCGAUAAUUACACCACUAGCAAAGUUGUCUAGUUUCCGACAUCUGUCAUCAGGCGGUUUGCUUUUUCGCUCUAGUUGAGUAAAUACUUUUGUCCUUGAAAUGCGAUAAAUAUCGCUUCAAUUAAGCCCAAAACCGGGGUGAUUGAUAGCGCAGUCUGUUUCGAACGUUGCGAAUUGUUAACUCAAUCGUCUGCGAAACGUCAGACAAGCAAAAAUUUAUUCUGUUUACACUUGUUUUGCUAUAAUUAUGAACGGAGGAAUUUUUCACGCUCGAAUGGCCAGCGCUUUAUUCAAUUUGGACGAACGUAAAAUUAUCGGAAUUUUGUGUCAUGCCAUCGUAAAAAAUAAGAUCGAGGCGAUUUGGAAAAACCGUUUCAAGGUUUAAUAGACGCUUUAUCACAAGAUUGGCGUUUUUACGACCGAUGGUUUCAAAAUUCAAAAGAAAAACGGGACAAAGUCGAGCCAUGAAGUGGAAAUGCGACGAGCUUUCCAAUUUUCUCUAUAACAAAAAACAUUUUAUAAAGCGACUAAUUUUUUCUGAUAGUGACAUAAUUGGAUUUUUAAUCUGAAACAACAGAUGCGUCAGAUAAAAGGCAAAUUUAAUUCAUUCCACUCGAAAUUAAACAAAAUUAAUUAUUAAUUGAAACGCAUUGGGAACCGGUUAAAUGGGUUUAGUUUUAAUAAAAUGCACAAAUAAAAAAUCUCCUACUCGAAACAUGGCCAAAAUGUCCAAAAAUUUAUGACAUUUUCAUGUGAAAUUGAAUUUCAUACAUAUACAGGGAUGUCCGAAAAAAACGUUGAAAAAUUUUGGGGGAUGCUUUCCUAUGUCAAAAUAAGAAAAAAGCUCUUAUGGACAUAUGUCCGAAAAUGAUUCCUUGGGGAACUAGAAAAGCAACCCAUGCAGUGAGUUU